GCCCCAAAAGCUAGCCCACCUUCAAAAAUCAACAACCCCUAUCAAUCACCCCUGACCAACGACAAUAACUUUUAACAAACCAUUUUUCCGCCCCAGUAUGGGAGACAGAAAAGGAUAUUCGGCGCCAUAGAAAAAGUACCGCAAGGGAAAGCUGAAAGAGAAGUGAAACAACCCAGUAAAGGAAAAAAAAGCAGAGAUUAGCACUCGUACCUUUUGCAUCAUGACUUAGCCAGCCCCCCUCAGGCAAAGCGCCCUUUAGUCUGAGCCCCCGAAACUAAGCGAGCUACUCCGAGGCAGCCUAUUGUAGGGCCAACCCGUCUCUGUGGCAAAAGAGUGGGAAGAACUCUGAGUAGAGGUGACAGACCUACCGAGCCUAGUAAUAGCUGGUUGCUUGAAAACCGAAUUUAAGUUCCACCUUCUAGCGUUUUUACCCCCAAAAAGCGAAAGCCCCAAGAGGACAAAAGACAGCCAGAAGAGCUAUUCAAGAGAGGGACAGCUCUCUUGAAAAAAGACACAACUUUUAACAGAAGGCUAAAGAUUAAAAGACAAAAGGCACAUACCCACGUGGGCCUAAAAGCAGCCACCUAGAAAGAAAGCGUUAAAGCUCAAGUAUAUAGCCCCACUAAUCCCAACAGUAACAUCCUAAGCCCCUCCCCCAAUCAAGCCGCCCCAUGCAAACAUGGGAAAGAUAAUGCUAACAUGAGUAAUAAGAGAGCCAAGCCUCUCUCAUCAGCACCCGUGUAAAUCAGAACGGACCCGCACUGAAAAUUAACGCCCCCACCCCAGAGGGAAGUGAACAAACCAUUAACACAACAGGAAAACCCCUCAAACUGACAGCGUUAACCCCACACCGGAGUGCCAUAUGAAAGACAUAAAGAAAAAGAAGGAACUCGGCAAACACUGGCCUCGCCUGUUUACCAAAAACACCGCCUCUUGCUACGAUAAUAUAAGAGGUCCCGCCUGCCCUGUGACAAAAGUUUAACGGCCGCGGUAUUUUGACCGUGCGAAGGUAGCGCAAUCACUUGUCUUUUAAAUAAAGACCUGUAUGAAUGGCAUAACGAGGGCUAAACUGUCUCCUUUCUCUAGUCAAUGAAGUUGAUCUGCCCGUGCAGAAGCGGGCAUAAGCACAUAAGACGAGAAGACCCUAUGGAGCUUCAGACACAGAUACAAACCACGUCAAAACGUCGGAAUAAAACCGAACAAAAACAAAAUGGCCUCUGUUUCAAUGUCUUUGGUUGGGGCGACCACGGAGUAACAAAAAACCCCCGAGCGGAAGGGGUCUAAACCCUAAAGCAAGAGCCACAGCUCUAACAACCAGAAAAUCUGACCAACAGAUCCGGCACCGCCGAUCAACGGACCGAGUUACCCUAGGGAUAACAGCGCAAUCCUCUCCUAGAGCCCAUAUCGACGAGGGGGUUUACGACCUCGAUGUUGGAUCAGGACUUCCUAAUGGUGCAGCCGCUAUUAAGGGUUCGUUUGUUCAACGAUUAAAGUCCUACGUGAUCUGAGUUCAGACCGGAGAAAUCCAGGUCAGUUUCUAUCUAUGAACACGCUCUUUCCUAGUACGAAAGGACCGGAGAGAGGAGGCCCAUGCUUAAAGUAAGCCCCGCCCUAACCUACUGAUGCCCACUAAAGUAGGCAAAAGGGACGUACCCCCCCCCCCCGCCUGAGAACAAGGCAA
This 1681-nucleotide ribosomal RNA is filed under the name Asterropteryx semipunctata (starry goby). RNAcentral describes it as "16S rRNA". The stretch from base 96 to 1596 matches the Rfam family "Bacterial large subunit ribosomal RNA". Lineage: Eukaryota; Metazoa; Chordata; Actinopteri; Gobiiformes; Gobiidae. The record is from RNAcentral.